Molecule: ribosomal RNA, 468 nt
Filed under: uncultured bacterium
Lineage: Bacteria
Description: partial 16S ribosomal RNA
Rfam family: Bacterial small subunit ribosomal RNA
Source: RNAcentral
GACGAACGCUGGCGGCGUGCUUAACACAUGCAAGUCGAACGGAAAGGCCCUGCUUUUGUGGGGUGCUCGAGUGGCGAACGGGUGAGUAACACGUGAGUAACCUGCCCUUGACUUUGGGAUAACUUCAGGAAACUGGGGCUAAUACCGGAUAGGAGCUCCUGCUGCAUGGUGGGGGUUGGAAAGUUUCGGCGGUUGGGGAUGGACUCGCGGCUUAUCAGCUUGUUGGUGGGGUAGUGGCUUACCAAGGCUUUGACGGGUAGCCGGCCUGAGAGGGUGACCGGCCACAUUGGGACUGAGAUACGGCCCAGACUCCUACGGGAGGCAGCAGUGGGGAAUAUUGCACAAUGGGUGGAAGCCUGAUGCAGCAACGCCGUGUGCGGGAUGACGGCCUUCGGGUUGUAAACCGCUUUCGCUCAUGACGAAGCUUUGUGUGACGGUAGUGGGUAAAGAAGCACCGGCUAACUACGU